Centrocercus urophasianus (Greater sage-grouse) is the source of this 586-nucleotide long non-coding RNA. RefSeq lists it as uncharacterized. The transcript has 2 exons. Lineage: Eukaryota; Metazoa; Chordata; Aves; Galliformes; Phasianidae. The record is from RefSeq and is a predicted model, not a curated record.
AACGCGGCGUCGGGAGCGUUCGUCGAAGCGUUGAAAGGCGACGCGUGUUUAGCCGGGCCUUGUGGGCUUUGUUACUACCUUUGUCUGUUUUGGAGGAGCGUGUAGUUUCUUUUUUGAGUUGCUAAGAAGUCCGACCUGUAAACUCCUCUGACUUAAUUCUAAGGGAGAAAAGGCAUUCGCUCUUAUUACGUUUGCUUCCUCUGAUUACGUGUGUUUGCACACCAAGCACUUUCACCCUGUUCUGCUGAGAAUUUGAGGUUCCCACUGUGGGGCAUUGAGUCAUCCAGGAAGCUCUUGAGAGCUGCACGUAUAGGCGACACAACAGCACAGUGCUUCUGAAGAAGCGCUGUGAGGGAGGUAUUCUAUUUUACUUCCUGUGAAUAUCAAGUAUAAAAAGGAAGACGGUUAAGGAUGACGAGCAGGAGGAGGAUGGUAAAGCUGUUGUGUAGAAAGGAAGAAGAACGAGGAAGAUCAGGAAGAAUGUUGCACACCUGAAACUAAAUUUCAUCUUCAUCCUGGAAUUCAUAGUCUGAUGAUAUGUAGUAUUUCGUUAUUUUGGAUGUCUAACAAAUCAUUAUGUUCUGAA